GUUUAUUGUUUGCUUCAUGCCUCGAAUCGUCUCGUCGACUGCUCUGUUGUUUGGUGGAUGGCCGGGUCCUGCUCUGGGGGUCCUGUCGAAAAGGUUGCCAUGGCAAGGCAAUCAGUGGUUGCCUAUCGAUGGGCAAACAAAUUUUGUCCGUUAAGUGUCGCCCCAAAUAAAAUACCAAAUAAGUGCCACCAUUAAAAACGAGUUGGCAGUUUCAGCGAAUUGGAGGAUCUUUUCGGGAAAUUUUGACGUUGAACCUUAUUAUGAAAAAAAUCCAAUGAAAGGGAGUUCUGAAAACUAGCCAAUCUUUUAAAAAAUUGAUUCAUGAAUUGGAUAAAAUUAUAUGUUCAGUGCUGAGACUCAUAGCUGACUAGUAAUAUGAAGUCGAAUUUCAAAAUCGAGGAAUAUGAUUUCCGACCACGGACAGAGACCGAUUAGCCCAUUGUCGACCAGUGAAAGAUAUCGUGGUAAUAUUUUUUUUGUUAGUAAAGAG
Molecule: long non-coding RNA, 490 nt
Organism: Drosophila obscura
Lineage: Eukaryota; Metazoa; Arthropoda; Insecta; Diptera; Drosophilidae
Exons: 3
Source: RefSeq, a predicted model, not a curated record